This 238-nucleotide ribosomal RNA is filed under the name uncultured Lactobacillus sp. RNAcentral describes it as "partial 16S ribosomal RNA". It matches the Rfam family "Bacterial small subunit ribosomal RNA", at positions 125 to 355 of the family's 1533-position model. The record is from RNAcentral. Lineage: Bacteria; Bacillati; Bacillota; Bacilli; Lactobacillales; Lactobacillaceae.
CCGUAGCCCAAGAGAUCGGGAUAACACCUGGAAACAGAUGCUAAUACCGGAUAACAACAGAUGAUGCCUAUCAACUGUUUAAAAGAUGGUUCUGCUAUCACUCUUGGAUGGACCUGCGGUGCAUUAGCUAGUUGGUAGGGUAACGGCCUACCAAGGCGAUGAUGCAUAGCCGAGUUGAGAGACUGAUCGGCCACAUUGGGACUGAGACACGGCCCAAACUCCUAGGGAGGCAGCAGCA